RNAcentral lists this ribosomal RNA (465 nucleotides) under uncultured Klebsiella sp. RNAcentral describes it as "bacterial SSU rRNA". It matches the Rfam family "Bacterial small subunit ribosomal RNA", at positions 338 to 795 of the family's 1533-position model. The record is from RNAcentral. Lineage: Bacteria; Pseudomonadati; Pseudomonadota; Gammaproteobacteria; Enterobacterales; Enterobacteriaceae.
CCUACGGGCGGCUGCAGUGGGGAAUAUUGCACAAUGGGCGCAAGCCUGAUGCAGCCAUGCCGCGUGUGUGAAGAAGGCCUUCGGGUUGUAAAGCACUUUCAGCGGGGAGGAAGGCGGUGAGGUUAAUAACCUCAUCGAUUGACGUUACCCGCAGAAGAAGCACCGGCUAACUCCGUGCCAGCAGCCGCGGUAAUACGGAGGGUGUAAGCGUUAAUCGGAAUUACUGGGCGUAAAGCGCACGCAGGCGGUCUGUCAAGUCGGAUGUGAAAUCCCCGGGCUCAACCUGGGAACUGCAUUCGAAACUGGCAGGCUAGAGUCGUGUAGAGGGGGGUAGAAUUCCAGGUGUAGCGGUGAAAUGCGUAGAGAUCUGGAGGAAUACCGGUGGCGAAGGCGGCCCCCUGGACAAAGACUGACGCUCAGGUGCGAAAGCGUGGGGAGCAAACAGGAUUAGAUACCCUAGUAGUC